Molecule: ribosomal RNA, 248 nt
Filed under: uncultured organism
Description: partial 16S ribosomal RNA
Rfam family: Bacterial small subunit ribosomal RNA
Source: RNAcentral
UAGGAAUCUUCCCCAAUGGGCGAAAGCCUGACGCAGCAACGCCGCGUGCGGGAUGAAGGCCUUCGGGUUGUAAACCUCUUUUAUCAGGGAAGAAGCGAAAGUGACGGUACCUGAAGAAAAAGCACCGGCUCACUACGUGCCAGCAGCAGCGGUAAUACGUAGGGAGCAAGCGUUAUCCGGAAUUAUUGGGCGUACAGCGUCCGUAGGUGGUUGUUCGAGUCUGCUGUUAAAGCGUGCGGCUUAACUGC